This 332-nucleotide ribosomal RNA is filed under the name uncultured bacterium. Its description in RNAcentral is "bacterial SSU rRNA". It matches the Rfam family "Bacterial small subunit ribosomal RNA", at positions 568 to 898 of the family's 1533-position model. The record is from RNAcentral.
CGUGUAGGUGGUCUGAUAAGUCAGGUGUGAAAGCCCCUGGCUCAACCAGGGAAGUGCACUUGAAACUAUCAGACUUGAGUACGGGAGGGGGAAGUGGAAUUCCUGGUGUAGAGGUGAAAUUCGUAGAUAUCAGGAGGAAUACCGGUGGCGAAGGCGACUUCCUGGACCGAUACUGACACUGAGACGCGAAAGCGUGGGGAGCAAACAGGAUUAGAUACCCUGGUAGUCCACGCCAUAAACGAUGGGCACUAGGUGUAGCGGGUAUUGACCCCUGCUGUGCCGAAGCUAACGCAUUAAGUGCCCCGCCUGGGGAGUACGGCCGCAAGGCUAAA